Molecule: ribosomal RNA, 253 nt
Filed under: uncultured bacterium
Lineage: Bacteria
Description: partial 16S ribosomal RNA
Rfam family: Bacterial small subunit ribosomal RNA
Source: RNAcentral
UACGGGGGAUGCAAGCGUUAUCCGGAUUUAUUGGGUUUAAAGGGUGCGUAGGCGGCACGCCAAGUCAGUUGUGAAACCCGUAGGCUCAACCUACGGCUUGCAAUUGAAACUGGCGAGCUAGAGUACAGGAGAGGAAAGCGGAAUUCCUAGUGUAGCGGUGAAAUGCGUAGAUAUUAGGAAGAACACCGGUGGCGAAGGCGGCUUUCUGGACUGAAACUGACGCUGAGGCACGAAAGCGUGGGGAGCAAACAGG